GUCAACCGAGGGGCGGAUGCGCCGUUAAUACGUGGGGGGAAAGCGUGGACCGUAAGUAGUGGGCGUAAAGCGCGCGCAGGCGGUCCUUUAAGGUGGAUGUGAAAGCCCACGGCUCAGCCGUGGAGGGUCAUUGGAAACUGGGGGACUUGAGUGCAGAAGAGGAAAGCGGAAUUCCACGUGUAGCGGUGAAAUGCGUAGAGAUGUGGAGGAACACCAGUGGCGAAGGCGGCUUUCUGGUCUGUAACUGACGCUGAGGCGCGAAAGCGUGGGGAGCAAACAGGAUUAGAUACCCCAGUAGUC
Molecule: ribosomal RNA, 300 nt
Filed under: uncultured Lactobacillus sp.
Lineage: Bacteria; Bacillati; Bacillota; Bacilli; Lactobacillales; Lactobacillaceae
Description: partial 16S ribosomal RNA
Rfam family: Bacterial small subunit ribosomal RNA
Source: RNAcentral